UGCGACCCCAGGUCAGGCGGGACUACCCGCUGAGUUUAAGCA
Molecule: ribosomal RNA, 42 nt
Filed under: Aglaia elliptica
Lineage: Eukaryota; Viridiplantae; Streptophyta; Magnoliopsida; Sapindales; Meliaceae
Also listed under: 1 other name
Description: partial 26S ribosomal RNA
Source: RNAcentral